Molecule: ribosomal RNA, 121 nt
Filed under: Moellerella wisconsensis
Lineage: Bacteria; Pseudomonadati; Pseudomonadota; Gammaproteobacteria; Enterobacterales; Morganellaceae
Source: RNAcentral
UGUCUGGCGGCGAUAGCGCGGUGGUCCCACCUGACCCCAUGCUGAACUCAGAAGUGAAACGCCGUAGCGCCGAUGGUAGUGUGGGGUCUCCCCAUGUGAGAGUAGGGAACUGCCAGACUUU